AAAUUAUAGGCAAUUAGCAAGACACCCCCAAUAAAGGAGUGGUUCUGCAGGUGGUGACCACAGACCACUUCUCCGUUCCUAUGCUUCCUGGCUGAUGUUUUGGUCACUUUUGAAUGCUGGCGGUGCUUUCACUCUAGUGGUAGCAUGAGACGGAGUCUACAACCCACACAAGUGGCUCAGGUAGUGCAGCUCAUCCAGGAUGGCACAUCAAUGCAAUCAAGACACAGCAAGAAGGUUUGCUGUGUCUGUCAGCAUAGUGUCCAGAGCAUGGAGGCGCUACCAGGAGACAGGCCAGUACAUCAGGAGACGUGGAGGAAGCCGUAGGAGGGCAACAACCCAGCAGCAGGACCGCUAUCUCUGCCUUUGUGCAAGGAGCAACAGGAGGAGCACUG
This 392-nucleotide long non-coding RNA is filed under the name Pelobates cultripes (western spadefoot toad). The record is from RNAcentral. Lineage: Eukaryota; Metazoa; Chordata; Amphibia; Anura; Pelobatidae.